Molecule: non-coding RNA, 55 nt
Organism: Chromobacterium aquaticum
Lineage: Bacteria; Pseudomonadati; Pseudomonadota; Betaproteobacteria; Neisseriales; Chromobacteriaceae
Source: Rfam
GUAGAGCGACGGACUGUUAAUCCGCAGGUCGCAGGUUCGAGCCCUGCUCGGGGAG